CCUACGGGUGGCAGCAGUGAGGAAUAUUGGUCAAUGGGCGAGAGCCUGAACCAGCCAAGUCGCGUGAAGGAUGACGGCCCUACGGGUUGUAAACUUCUUUUGUCAGGGAGCAAUUGAGUCCACGUGUGGGCUUAGCGAGAGUACCUGAAGAAAAAGCAUCGGCUAACGCCGUCCCAGCAGCCGCGGUAAUACGGGGGAUGCGAGUGUUUUCCGGUUUUUUUGGGUUUAAAGGUUGCGUAGGCGGAAUAUCAGGUCAGCGGUAAAAAUUCGGGGCUAAACCCCGUCGUGCCGUUGAUACUGAUGUUCUUGAGUGGGCGAGAAGUAGGCGGAAUGCGUGGUGUAGCGGUGAAAUGCAUAGAUAUCACGCAGAACUCCGAUUGCGAAGGCAGCAUACCGGCGCCCAACUGACGCUGAAGCACGAAAGCGUGGGUAUCGAACAGGAUUAGAGACCCGAGUAGUC
Molecule: ribosomal RNA, 460 nt
Filed under: uncultured bacterium
Lineage: Bacteria
Description: partial 16S ribosomal RNA
Rfam family: Bacterial small subunit ribosomal RNA
Source: RNAcentral